AUGAUCAUCCUAGCCUGGAACUGCCGAGGAUUGGGGUUGGACUCGGCAGUGGGCGAGCUACGGGACCUGAUUAGGUCAUACAACCCAGGGGUGGUGUUCUUAUUAGAAACGAAGAUGAGAGCGGGAGCGAUGGAAAGGUUAAAAUGUAGAUUGGGUUUCAAUAACGGAGUAGCGGUGGAGUGCAAAGGCAAAAGUGGAGGUCUCGCGCUAUGGUGGAGGGAUCAUGUACAAGUUAUGGUUCGACCGUGGUGCCAGUACUACAUCGACGCACAAAUUGUGGAUGGCGGUUCCCCUUUCAGAUUCACUGGAAUCUAUGGGGAGCCUUGUACUGAAAAAAGAACAGAAACAUGGGAGGUUCUCCGCUACCUUAGGAAGCAAGACAAUCUACCUUGGCUCUGCGCCGGCGAUUUUAAUGAGGCACUAAGACAGCACGAGCAGCAAGGUGGCAAUCCGAGAAGCCUGAACCAGAUAGCUCAAUUUGAGGAUUGCUUGUCCGACUGCGGGCUCGCUGAUCUCUGUUUCUCGGGCUAUCCGUUCACAUGGGACAAUAAGCGUGAUGGAAAUGAGAAUAUCCAGGUGCGGCUGGACCGUGCAACAUGCAAUGCAGAUUUUGCACAACGUUUCCCGCGGAUUGAGGUCCAACACGUCAUGACAGAGGAGUCAGAUCAUCAGGCGCUUCUCAUUAAUGCGUCAAUGACACUGGUCGAUGCGCAUGCAAGGGGUGUUGGGGAACGUUGCAGAAAAUAA
Molecule: ribosomal RNA, 747 nt
Filed under: Triticum aestivum (bread wheat)
Lineage: Eukaryota; Viridiplantae; Streptophyta; Magnoliopsida; Poales; Poaceae
Description: partial small subunit ribosomal RNA
Source: RNAcentral